This is an RNA transcript of Anastrepha ludens (Mexican fruit fly), 2460 nucleotides long. It is a transcript of the gene named endothelial differentiation-related factor 1 homolog, with no coding region annotated. The transcript has 6 exons. The record is from RefSeq and is a predicted model, not a curated record. NCBI's taxonomy places the organism in Eukaryota, Metazoa, Arthropoda, Insecta, Diptera, Tephritidae.
AAAAUAUUGUCAGCUAUUGGACUCCUUUGUAUUCGAAGAAUAUUUUACCAGUAAAAAGUUUUGAAUAAAUCUGUAUGAAAUAUUUGUUAUUCGUUAUAAGCAGUAUAAAUUCGAGUACUUAACAACAUUCAGUGCAGGUUGUUACAGGUUGAAGUAAAAAAUUAUCAAAAUGUCUGAUUACGGCGCAGGUACUGUUUGGCGCAAGAUGACACCCAAAGACAGCCCGGCCAAGUCGGAAUCAGUGGUUCUUUAUGCGAGACGUCAAGGAAUACCCGUAGAAACAACACAAAAAUAUGCACCGGGUACCGACGAGCAACAUGUAACCACAAAGAAUACUACCAAAUCUGAUCGUGAGGCUGAAGAACAAACAAAGAACAAAACAAUCAAAAAGAAGAACAAAAAAUCGUCUGGCGCGUUACGCAAAGCACGCUACCUGAAAGCCAAACACAUUUUGGCUAAGGUAUACAAGAAUGAAAUGGCCGGCAUAACACAUGAACGCGAUGCAGCGGACAAGGUCACCUAUGAGGCCGUGGUGCGCGAGUACGAAGCUAUGUUAUCGAACAAAUCUAACGACCAUCAAAAAAAUAUCAUUCCUCAAAAUCAACCACCGGCUAUGGGCAACCGAUCACAAGAUGUGAGCGGGCGUGCUGCCAAUUUCCAGGGUUUUGAGGGCCCUACAAACCGCUCAAAAGAUGUGAGCGGGCGUGCUGCCAAUUGCCAGGGUGUUGAGAGCCUUACAAACCGAUCACAACAUGUGAGCGGGCGUGCUGCCAAUUUCCAGGGUUUUGAAGGCCCUACAAACCGAUCGCAAGAUGUGAGCGGGCAUGCUGCCAAUUGCCAGGGUGUUGUGGGCCCUACAAACCGAUCACAACAUGUGAGCGGGCGUGAUGCCAAUUGCCAGGCUGUUGAGAGCCCUACAACAAGUGCGGCGGCUACGGCUAGCGAGGGGACCAGGGAUCAUCUCCAAGUAGCCCUCGUAGAUGCAAAAUCCUAUAAUGGCAGGCGGGUGCUAGACCAUUGGGGUGAAAUUGAGGCACGGCUGUCAGGCAUGGUCGUCGAAUACCUCAUGGCAAACAAAGGACAGGUCCCUCUCUUCGACUCGGCAGAAGUUUGUCGCGGUUGUAGAGUAAUCAGAUGUGCCGAUGAGUUUUCCAAGAGAUUUCUGGAGAAGUGCGUUGCUGAGGUCAGCAAUGCCUGGGAGGGGAUUUCGCUUAAACUAAUUCCUGCAUCGGAUAUCCCUAAGAGACCCAGAGCGCGCAUUUGGUUGCCGAAAUUGGAGCUGGAUGGUCAGAAAGUCCUCCAAUGCCUCAAACUUCAAAACCCUGAGGUUCCUAUGCACAGCUGGUCUGUGAUCAAGUUAGAGGAACCUCAGAAAAACAGCUCCACAGUCUUACUGCUUAUUUCCAACGAUUCUCUGGACGUACUCGAGCAAAAACAGUAUAAACUUCGCUUUGGCCUCAGAAUGGCCAAAGUUAAGGUCUUGCCCGCGUCUGUUACCCCGGAUGGCGACUUUCACGAAAUAGAAGAUACCAAACAACCCGACGAACUGUGGCUGUCUGCGACGGAUGCGGUUCCAGAGUUCAUGGACUCCAUGACAUUUCCGGAAGCCAUGGAAUAGGCUUAAGUGAGCUUAUCUUAACAAAGUCAUGUUAAGAAUAACUCUUUCUAGCCACCGAUAACCUCUGUGUCAUCCUCAGGGAGGAUGACAUUGAUUUCUGCUUCAUCCAAGAACCCAGGCGGUUCUAAGAUCAUGGGUCUCUAGAGCUUCCCUUAACAAAGGAAUGUUAAGAGUAGCUCAGAUAAACCUUCACCAUGCUAGUCUAGCUACCGAUAACCUCUGUGUCAUCCUCAGGGAGGAAGACAUUGAUAUCUGCUUCAUCCAAUAACCCAGACCGUUCUAAGAUCAUGGGUCUCUAGAGCCCAAGCUCACCAAACGUAGUGGUGGUACGGGUAGAACCAUCUAUUGGCCGUUGCUACUAUUUAAUUUCUGCAUACGUGGUGCAGCAUCUCCUGAGGAAAUGUAGCGUUUGGUGGACUCACUGUCAUCUGGAAGAGAGGCCAUCCUCAUCGGCUGCGAUGCCAAUGGCAGACAUGCCAUUUGGGCAAGCAGCGAGAUUAACGCUCGAGUAUCCGGUUUCGAAUUUUUAUGUAACUUAUACAUCACUAGCAGUGGUAUGCAUAAUUCCAUGUGAAGUUGGCAACGAUGUACGUGAAAAAUCACGCGAAAUGAUGAACUGUCAAAUGGAAUCAGUAAAAAUAUCGUCAUAUAUUCGACUUUUCUGGAAUCGAAAAAUAUUUUGCCAGUAGAAAGUUUUGAAUAAAUCUGUAUGAAACAUUUGUUAUUCGUUUAAAGCACGUUUCACCAGUAUAACUUGGAGUACUUUAGACAUACAGUGCUUCAGAUUUGUCACUAAAUUAGCAAUAGGUGGUUGGAGUUAAAAAUUAUCAAAAGUAAAAUGU